UUUGAGUGAACGAGCGCCACAAAGUCCAUUCUGAAGGUAGCCCUUGGUCAGGGCAAGGUAUCAUGUUUAUUAAAGUCACACGAUCAUGUCGUCAUUGCCAAAACGUAGGUGAUGCAUCGGUUUUGAAGAUCAUUGAGCUUGAGGACUGAAAGCAAUAUGCACCCGUCUUUUUGUUGUUUAUUUCUACUCUUUCAUUUUUUUAUUUCUACUCUUUCAUUUUUACUCGGAGUUGGCCGUGGUUUAAUUAUUAACUUGCAAGGUUGUGGACAUGAGCUGGUGGAUUAAUAUGUAUUAAUGUAAUACCUUGCAUGUAUGAGGGUGUAUUGUUCUGUAUGUGGGCCUGGGUAGUUCAGGUGGCAGCACACUGUUGAUUUAACUCAAACCAGUUUUUUUCUGUUCACACCAUAUGAUAAGAAGAAAAGGAAACCGACUUGCUGCUCGAUUGAAACUGAUUUGCUAAUAACUUUGUGUGUUCACACUAUAUAACAAUGGUGGAAGAGGGAAACAGAUCUGUGUAGGUGCAGAUCAAAUAAAAAAAUUUAUAAAAAAGGAGAUAAUUAUAAGGAAGCUAGUAGGAAACUUGGAAUUCUAUGCUUGGGACAUGUAGCUUGUGAUUUGUUUUAGUAGACGAUUAUCAUAGCUAUUUUUCUUCGCGAAAGAUAAGGUAAGUUACAUUAUUUGAUAUCUUUUCUUGCUUUUAGGAGAUAGAUGAGGUUAGUGGAUGUAAGGGUAUGCUAUUGUUAUACUACAAUUUCGGUUAUGCGUAUUAAUUGAAUUUGUUUGAUUUUGAUUUCAUGAAAUUGAUCUUUAUUCGGUUAUUGUUGGAAAAUUGAUAGGAAAGCAUGUUAGUGUGUUGAUUUGAUUCUAACAUGAUAUUGAUUGUCAUAACUCUUAAUUGACGCUGCAAUGAAGUAUUAGAUUAUUAGUGACAUUAUUCAUGUAUAAUUUUUAUGCCAAAGGUGAGAUUGCAUAUUUUGAAAUUUAUGUGCAUUGAUAGUUAAGAUGCAUUUAAAUUGAAUGAAUGGAUUGAUUUGUGUGAAAGGGCUUUUGAGCCAGAGACUGUUUUGAACAGUCUGAAUUUGGGGAGACGUCCCUGGAGUGUACGGAGAGUAUUGCUCGGUGUCGCAUACAGAAGUACACUCAGUGGUGCUAUGUCACCAACCUUAUGAGCCUGCGGAGAGUAUUGCUCGGUGUCGCAUACAGAUGCAUGGCUGGGGUACUGCGGUACCAGAUGAUUUGAUAUCAGAUGGAUUGGCUUUAUGCNNNNNNNNNNNNNNNNNNNNNNNNNNNNNNNNNNNNNNNNNNNNNNNNNNNNNNNNNNNNNNNNNNNNNNNNNNNNNNNNNNNNNNNNNNNNNNNNNNNNGAUAUAAUGAGCUAGGCUACUCUCCGUAAUUGAAUUGCUAUAUUUUAUUGGGUGCGCUGAUUCCGUCCCUGGGAUCAAGAUCGGAUAUCAAGUUGUGUAACUUGCUAGCGUUUAAUCGCUCCUUUUUCCCUUCCUUCCAGGAAACAGGUAAAGCGAUUCUCGGAGCGUGCGAAGAGGAUCUAGUUGGAGAUAUUUAGCUUAGCAGGUGCUCUAAGUUGUUGUUAGUCUUUUGUUAUCAGUGUAGCCCUUGGGGCAGACACAGUAUGUUAUCUUUGCAGUUGUGUGUUUUUCUUUCAGUUCAAUCCUUGUAUAUAUGUAUAUACAGAGUUUGGUUUUGAAAUAAAUCUUCCGCUGUUGUUUUGUUCGAAUUUUGUACGUAUUAUCUUUUAUUAUUCUGUCCUUACAUGGAUAUUGGAUUUGGAGUUUGGUGUCACGUGGCAGUAGUGUGAACCUACGGUCCAUGGUGGACAUAUGGAGAACAUUACGACUCUGGAGUCUGGUCUUAGCCUGAUCAACUAGGAUUGGAUUUUGGGGGCGUCACAGUUGGUAUCAGAGCUUAGAGUUCAUUUGUCCUAGUGGGAUAUUCCUAGAGUCUGUAGGUGUUAGAGCACCAUAGGAGUAUGUUCGUACGUUAGUAUAGAUUGAGUGAGGACGUUACGUUUACGUUCCGUUUCAUUUCGUAUUCAGUUCUCUAUUCCUGGAUUGUUUCUCAUGUUUCCUGCUUGUGUUGCUACAGUGACUAAUGGCGGGACAAGAGGGACAUGCAGGGGAUGGGACUGAUACGAGUGGGACUGGAGUUGCGAUUCCAGCUUGGAUGCAGCCCAUGAUGACUUCGCUUACUAAUCUUACAGCAGAGUUAACAGCUUUGAGGAACAUGGGUGCAAAUCCACCACAGGGUAAUACGACACGUCAGCCAGGGGUACCAGCAGGUGAACCAGAUAUGACAGAAGGGGAAUUAGAAACAGGCCGAUUAGAGUCAUGGCUGCGGGUGAUAGAGAAAUUUCAGAAGCACAAACCACCUACUUUUGACGGCAAAGGCAAUCAUCUGGUGGCAGGUGAAUGGAAAGCUGAGGUGAAGAACGUGUUGCGCAUUAUGAAGGUGAACCCAGUCCAACAACAACUCUUGGCAGCCCUACAGCUUAAGGGUGGAGCCAGAAUGUGGUGGAAUAGUGUAGUAUUUGAAGAAGAUGAGGAUAUGAUGGAAUGGUCAGAUUUUGAGCGACUCUUUGAUAAGCAGUACAUCUCUCGGACAGCAAAGACCAUUACAGAAAAGGAGUUGCUGACUAUUCAGCAGGGUGAGGACACUGUUACAGAGUAUGAGCACAGAUUCAUUCGUCUUGCCAGGUUUUGUACAGAUCUGAGGUUCUCUGAUUGGCGUUUGGCUCGACAGUUUGAGGAUGGUUUGAGAACCAAUUUGAGGCGAGCAGUGCAGAAUCAGCAACAUCCUACAGUUAGGCAGGUUGCAGAGUCUGCUAUGAUUACUGAGGCAGAUAUCAUCCAUACCCGAGAGCUGAAGGAAGCUAGUGGUAAAGGGUUCGAUGGUGGUAAGUCUCAUAAGCGCCAUCAACCGUCCGAUGGACAGAAAAAUGGUAAUGAGAAGAAAUUCAAAUCAGACAGUUCGGGUAGCAGUUCGAGGUAUACAAUGACUUGCAAUGCUUGUAAGAGGCCAGGACAUAAGAUGGCAGAUUGUGAGAAGUUCAAGAGCGGAGCUUGCUUUAACUGCGGUGAGAAGGGACAUCGUGCUUUUGAGUGUCCUAAGAAGAAUCUGAAAGAUAAUGAUAAGAAGAGUGGAACUGAUCAGAAAUCUGCGGGUAGCAGUGGCACAUGGAAAAGUAAAGGUUCAACCCAGUCUACGGGUCAGACUCAGGGUCAGUCGUCAGGUACGGGACAGUUGUAUGCUCUACCGUACUAUUAUCAGCCAGGAGAGACUCCACAAGAAGCGAUAGUUCCAGCUGCAGUUCCCUUGCAACAACAGGCACCACCUGCACCAGUUACUGCAGCGAUAGCACCAGCACCGCCUGCAUAUGGUCGUGUGUAUACGAUGAUUCCUAGAGAUGCUACUGAUGGAGCACUCUUGGAAGGUACGUUCUGUGUUAAUUCCAUGCCUGCUAAGAUUUUGUUUGAUACGGGUGCAAAGUAUUCUUUCGUUGCACGUUCUUUUGCUCAUACCGCUGGUCUUGUUUGUGAGAAACUCGAGUCUCUUUUGAUUGCUGAGCUUCCUGGUGAGUUUUAUCAGUAUCUAGAUUCUGUGUGUCGGGAUUAUCGGGUUACUCUUGAUGAGCAUGAGUUUCGCGCGAACUUGAUUGUCUAUGACAUGAAGAGUUUCGAUGUAAUUCUGGGUCUGAGAUGGAUGCAGAGUUAUCAGGGGAAGAUAGAUACCAUAGCAAAGACAGUUACUUUGCAAGUGGAUGGUCAUGAUGUGACCAUAGCUACCCCUCGGGGUAAUGAGUUAGCUGAAGCUUUUCUGGCCCAUAUCGAGUUGGGAGCAUCUGGGAAGGUUGAUUUGGCAUUGUCUGGUAUGGCAGUGGUUUGUGAUUUUGAGGAUGUCUUUGGGGACAUUCCUGGCUUGCCUCCCCACCGUGUUGUGGAAUUUGGCAUAGAUUUGGUUCUGGGUACUGUACCCAUUUCCCGCGCUCCCUAUCGUAUGGCACCAGCAGAGACGAAGGAGUUGCAAGCGCAACUCAAGGACCUUGAGAGUCAGGGUUUCAUUAGGCCCGAGUCACUCACCUUGGGGCGCACCGGUGUUGUUCGUUAAGAAGAAGGACGGGACUCUUCGUCUUUGUAUUGAUUACAGAGAGUUGAAUAAGGUGACGGUGAGGAAUAAGUAUCCUCUACCGCGUAUUGAUGACCUUUUCGAUCAGCUUCGAGGAGCACAGUGGUUUUCUAAGAUCGACUUGAGAUCUGGGUAUCAUCAGCUGAGGGUUAGGGAAGAGGAUAUCCCUAAGACGGCGUUUUUGACGCGUUAUGGUUCUUAUGAGUUCCUAGUUAUGCCUUUUGGGUUGACUAAUGCACCAGCAUUUUUCAUGGAUCUCAUGAACCGCAUCUUUCGACCCUACCUCGAUCAGUUCGUGAUAGUCUUCAUUGAUGAUAUUCUGAUAUAUUCUCGUUCUGAGGCAGAGCAUGCAGAGCAUUUGAGAAUUGUCUUGCAGACAUUGAGGGAGCACCAGUUGUAUGCAAAGUUCUCUAAAUGUGAGUUUUGGCUUCGAGAAGUCAAAUUCUUGGGGCAUGUGAUUUCUGGAGAUGGUCUUUCUGUAGAUCCAUCUAAGGUUGAAGCAGUGCUUGACUGGAAGCAGCCUACUACAGUUCAGGAGAUACGUAGUUUUCUUGGACUCGCUGGGUAUUAUCGCCGUUUCAUUCAGGGUUUUUCCAAGAUUGCCACAGCUUUGACCUAUUUGACGAAGAAGGAUGUUCCUUUCAUUUGGAACAGAGAUUGCCAGCUUGCUUUUGAGGAAUUGAAGCAGAGGCUUAUUUCUGCUCCAGUACUGAUGUUACCUCGUACUGAUAUACCUUUCGUGGUUUAUACUGAUGCAUCUUUGUUGGGAUUAGGCGGUGUCUUAAUGCAGACAGAAAGGGUUGUGGCCUAUGCUUCGAGACAGUUGAGGAUCCACGAGAUGAACUAUCCUACUCAUGACCUUGAGCUUGCAGCAGUAGUGUUUGCACUUAAGGUAUGGAGGCAUUAUUUGUAUGGUGUUCGGUUUGAUUUAUUCACUGAUCACAAGAGUCUGCAGUAUUUGUUCUCUCAGAGGGAGUUGAAUAUGAGACAACGUCGAUGGAUGGAAUUGAUUAAGGAUUAUGAUUUUUCCUUACAAUAUCAUCCUGGAAAGGCAAAUGUUGUAGCAGAUGCCUUGAGUAGAAAACCGAAAGCUCGUUUAGCAGCCAUACAGUUAUGGCGUAUGGUUGAGACACUUAGUGACUUCGAGUUUUGCCCUAGAUUUGACGGUCAGCAGUUUACUCGAGUUGCCUAUCUGGGUAGUAUGACUUUGCAGUCUACCUUUGUUAGCCGAUUGGUUGAUGCACAGGUUUUAGAUGAGUGGAUUCAGGCUCAGAAGGAUGCUCUGGUUGAUACACCAACUCCAGGUUGGAGUAUUGGUAACGAUGGAGGUUUGAGAUUUCAGAAUCGUCUUGUUGUUCCUGAUAACUCUCAGUUGAGGGAAGAGUUAUUCGAUGAGGCACAUCGUACGAGAUACACUGUUCAUCCAGGAACUACUAAGAUGUAUAAGGGUUUGAAGCAACAUUUCUGGUGGAAAACCAUGAAGAGGGAUGUGGCUGAAUAUGUCUCCAAGUGUGAUACUUGUCAGAGAGUUAAGGCAGAACAUAUGAGACCAGCUGGUGAAUUGCAACCUUUACCCAUACCGGAGUGGAAGUGGGACAGUAUUUCGAUGGAUUUUAUCGAGGGAUUACCUAUUUCUGAGGGCCAUAACUCUAUUUGGGUAAUCGUUGAUCGUUUGACUAAGGUAGCUCAUUUCCUACCUAUUAGUAAUACUUAUACUGCUAGUGACUUGGGAACAUUGUAUGUUCAGAAGAUAGUAAAACUUCAUGGCAUUCCUAUGACCAUUAUUUCUGAUAGAGGUACUCAGUUUACUUCCAAAUUUUGGCGAGGACUUCAGAAAGCUUUUGGGACUGCCUUGAACUUCAGUACAGCAUUUCAUCCUCAGACCGAUGGACAGACUGAACGGGUGAAUCAAGUCUUGGAGGAUAUGUUACGUGCAUGUAUAAUUGACUUUAAAGGUCAAUGGGCCGAGCAUUUGCAUUUGGCAGAGUUUGCUUAUAAUAACAGUUAUCAUGCUAGUAUUGGGAUGGCACCAUUUGAGGCCCUAUAUGGUAGACCCUGUAGGACUCCAGUGUGUUGGGCAGAACAUCAUGAUCGCAUUCUUAUGGGAGGACCAAAUAUGGUUAAAGACACUACUGCGAAAAUUGUAUUGGUUAGGGAUCGAAUUGUGGCUGCUCAGGAACGCCAAAAGCGUUAUGCAGAUAAGGGAUGACGACCGAUUGAGUAUCAGGUUGGGGACCCUGUUCUAUUGAAGGUCUCUCCUAUGAAGGGGGUACGACGCUUUGGAAAAAGAGGAAAAUUGGCACCACGGUUCAUUGGACCUUUCAUUGUUCUUGAACGUAUUGGGAAAGUGGCUUACAGGAUCGAAUUACCUCCAGCGUUGGCAGAUGUGCAUAAUGUCUUCCAUAUAUCUAUGUUGAGAUUAUUUAAGAAGGAUGACAGGAAAACACGAAAUAAUCAGAAGGACAUGCAAAUUAAUUUGGCAGACUUUCAGAUAACUCCAGAGAUGUCCUAUGUGGAGCAACCAGUGAAGCUUCUCAAACGGGAAAAACGGGAACUUCGUAGAAGGAAGAUUCCUUUUGUUCAGGUUCUAUGGACUGGACGUACGGAACGUGAAGCUACUUGGGAACGUGAAGAGGAUGUUCGUCGUGACUAUCCGGUUUUCUUCGACAAGGUACGUGUGAAUCUCGAGGACGAGAUUCCUAUUUAAGGGGGGUAGAUUGUAAUACCUUGCAUGUAUGAGGGUGUAUUGUUCUGUAUGUGGGCCUGGGUAGUUCAGGUGGCAGCACACUGUUGAUUUAACUCAAACCAGUUUUUUUCUGUUCACACCAUAUGAUAAGAAGAAAAGGAAACCGACUUGCUGCUCGAUUGAAACUGAUUUGCUAAUAACUUUGUGUGUUCACACUAUAUAACAAUGGUGGAAGAGGGAAACAGAUCUGUGUAGGUGCAGAUCAAAUAAAAAAAUUUAUAAAAAAGGAGAUAAUUAUAAGGAAGCUAGUAGGAAACUUGGAAUUCUAUGCUUGGGACAUGUAGCUUGUGAUUUGUUUUAGUAGACGAUUAUCAUAGCUAUUUUUCUUCG
This 7212-nucleotide long non-coding RNA is filed under the name Aquilegia coerulea. RNAcentral describes it as "long non-coding RNA (ACOE_LNC001156)". Lineage: Eukaryota; Viridiplantae; Streptophyta; Magnoliopsida; Ranunculales; Ranunculaceae. The record is from RNAcentral.